ACGGGUCUAAGAUAAGCCAUGGCACGUCUAAGUACAAACUAAAUGAUGGUGAAACUGCAAAUAGCUCAUUACAACGGUUAUGAUGUACCCGGGAGUUCCGAUGGAUAUUUCCAGUAACACUAGAACUAAUACAUGUCCCUGCGUUUAUUAGUUUCGCACAGUCCGUCGCUGAGUCAUGGUAAACAGUUGAUCGACUCGACGUCCCGGAACAGUUUCCGCCCCAUCAGCUUCGAUGGUUGGGUAUUGGCCUACCAUUGCAACAACGGGUAACGAGGAAUUAGGGUUUGAUUUCGGAGAGGGAGCCUGAGAAACGGCUACCACAUCUACGGAUGGCAGCAGGCGCGCAAAUUACCCAAUGCAGACACUGUGAGGUAGUGACGAGAAAUAAUAAAGCGGGACUUCUGUUUCGCUAUUAUAAUGAGGAAUAACCAAAGGUCAUUCCGAUUAGCAACUGAUGGGAAAGUCUGGUGCCAGCAGCCGCGGUAAUACCAGCGUCAGUA
Molecule: ribosomal RNA, 500 nt
Filed under: uncultured Myrionecta
Lineage: Eukaryota; Ciliophora; Litostomatea; Cyclotrichida; Mesodiniidae
Description: SSU rRNA
Rfam family: Eukaryotic small subunit ribosomal RNA
Source: RNAcentral